UACGUAGGGUGCAAGCGUUGUCCGGAAUUAUUGGGCGUAAAGAGCUCGUAGGCGGUUCGUCGCGUCGGCUGUGAAAACCCGAGGCUCAACCUCGGGCCUGCAGUCGAUACGGGCGGACUGGAGUUCGGCAGGGGAGACUGGAAUUCAUGGUGUAGCGGUGAAAUGCGCAGAUAUCAGGAGGAACACCGGUGGCGAAGGCGGGUCUCUGGGCCGAUACUGACGCUGAGGAGCGAAAGCGUGGGGAGCGAACAGG
RNAcentral lists this ribosomal RNA (253 nucleotides) under uncultured bacterium. RNAcentral's name for it is "partial 16S ribosomal RNA". It matches the Rfam family "Bacterial small subunit ribosomal RNA", at positions 524 to 776 of the family's 1533-position model. The record is from RNAcentral.